UCCGUAGGUGGAUAAUUAAGUCAGAGGUGAAAUCCUGCAGCUCAACUGUAGAAUUGCCUUUGAUACUGGUUAUCUUGAGUCAUUAUGAAGUGGUUAGAAUGUGUAGUGUAGCGGUGAAAUGCAUAGAUAUUACACAGAAUACCGAUUGCGAAGGCAGAUCACUAAUAAUGUACUGACACUGAGGGAUGAAAGCGUGGGGAGCGAACAGGAUUAGAUACCCUGGUAGUCC
This 229-nucleotide ribosomal RNA is filed under the name uncultured bacterium. RNAcentral describes it as "partial 16S ribosomal RNA". It matches the Rfam family "Bacterial small subunit ribosomal RNA", at positions 568 to 796 of the family's 1533-position model. The record is from RNAcentral.